Molecule: ribosomal RNA, 502 nt
Filed under: uncultured Glomeromycotina
Lineage: Eukaryota; Fungi; Glomeromycota
Description: partial small subunit ribosomal RNA
Rfam family: Eukaryotic small subunit ribosomal RNA
Source: RNAcentral
CCAAUAGCGUAUAUUAAAGUUGUUGCAGUUAAAAAGCUCGUAGUUGAACUUCGGGGUCUACCCAUUGGUCAGGCUUAAUUGUCUGCACUGGUGAGAUGGAUCUCUACCUUCUGAGGAACUUUCAUGCCAUUUAUUUGGUGUGGUUGGAAAUCAGGACUGUUACUUUGAAAAAAUUAGAGUGUUUAAAGCAGACUAUCGUCUGAAUACAUUAGCAUGGAAUAAUGAAAUAGGACGGACUGAUUCUAUUUCGUGGAUUUAUAGGAUCACCGGAAUGAUUAAUAGGGAUAGUUGGGGGCAGUAGUAUUCAAGUGUCAGAGGUGAAAUUCUUGGAUUUAUUGAAGACUAACUACUGCGAAAGCAUUUGCCAAGGAUGUUUUCAGUAAUCAAGAACGAAAGUUAGGGGAUCGAAGACGAUCAGAUACCGUCGUAGUCUUAACCAUAAACUAUGCCGACUAGGGAUCGGAUGAUGUUAAUUUUUUAAUGACUCAUUCGGCGCCUUACG